GAUGAACGCUAGCGGCAGGCCUAACACAUGCCAGUCGAGGGAGAAGCCCUUUCGGGGGCAGAAACCGGCGCACGGGUGCGUAACGCGUAUGCAACCUACCUUUCACAGGGGGAUAGCCCGAAGAAAUUUGGAUUAAUACCCCAUAAUAUUAUUGGAUGGCAUCAUUUGAUAAUUAAAACUGCGGUGGUGAAAGAUGGGCAUGCGUCCUAUUAGCUAGUUGGAGUGGUAACGGCACCCCAAGGCUACGAUAGGUAGGGGUCCUGAGAGGGAGAUCCCCCACAUUGGUACUGAGACAGGGACCAGACACCUACGGGAGGCAGCAGUGAGGAAUAUUGGUCAAUGGUCGGAAGACUGAACCAGCCAUGCCGCGUGCAGGAAGAAUGCCUUAUGGGUUGUAAACUGCUUUUAUAUGGGAAGAAUAAGGUGUACGUGUACAUUGAUGACGGUACCAUAUGAAUAAGCAUCGGCUAACUCCGUG
This 478-nucleotide ribosomal RNA is filed under the name uncultured bacterium. RNAcentral's name for it is "partial 16S ribosomal RNA". It matches the Rfam family "Bacterial small subunit ribosomal RNA", at positions 28 to 507 of the family's 1533-position model. The record is from RNAcentral.